This 63-nucleotide transfer RNA is filed under the name Plakobranchus ocellatus. RNAcentral's name for it is "tRNA-Pro". Lineage: Eukaryota; Metazoa; Mollusca; Gastropoda; Plakobranchidae. The record is from RNAcentral.
UCAAAAACAGUUCUUUGGAAUACUAACUUUGGAAGUUAGAGGAUGACGGAAGUCAUUUUUGAA